CGGGAAAAGCUCAAAUUUAAAAUCUGGUGACUUCGUCAUCCGAAUUGUAAUCUGGAGAAGCGUUUUCGUGCUGGACCGUGUACAAGUCUCUUGGAACAGAGCGUCGCAGAGGGUGAGAAUCCCGUCUAUGACACGGACCCCCAGUGCAUUGUGAUACGCUCUCGAA
Molecule: ribosomal RNA, 166 nt
Filed under: Corticiaceae sp.
Lineage: Eukaryota; Fungi; Basidiomycota; Agaricomycetes; Corticiales; Corticiaceae
Description: partial large subunit ribosomal RNA
Rfam family: Eukaryotic large subunit ribosomal RNA
Source: RNAcentral